This 7581-nucleotide long non-coding RNA is filed under the name Setaria italica (foxtail millet). Its description in RNAcentral is "long non-coding RNA (SITA_LNC005605)". The record is from RNAcentral. Lineage: Eukaryota; Viridiplantae; Streptophyta; Magnoliopsida; Poales; Poaceae.
UUAUUACAAGCAGCGAGAGGAAUUAACUAUGCUUGUCACCACACACACGCGCGCACAGAUGCACGACAUACAUAUAGUUGAGACCAACGAUGGAUCAACUAGAGGUCGCCCCAUAUGGUGAACAAUUUAUUGGAGAUAGACAUUAACAUAACUUGGCCAUAGCUUGAAGCAUAGCAACAUAUGCCUAUGAAUGGCAUUCAUGCUAUCGUUUUAGGCUUGUCCUUCUUCCAUCUUAGCAAGCACUCCCAUUUCUUCCAUCUUAGCAGCAACUGUCAAAUUGAGAUAUGGAAAUCCCAUUAGCGCAUGAGUUAAUUUUGCAGUGGAAAUAGAGUACAAGAUGUCUUCAUGAUGUAAGUAAUAUGCCUGAAGUUGUGAGAUGGGACGUGAAGUCAACAAAUUACAUUAAGGGCCCGUUUGUUUCCCUAGAAUUGAAACUCAUUUCAUGAAUCAUAUUCUAGCAAUUAGAUUCCAUAGGAAAUGGAUUUCGUAGAAUUUGAUUCAAUUGAAUUUUCUUGUUUGGAUGUACCGAGAAAGUUUUUCUUAGAAUUAAAUUCCAAAUGCUGUUUGGAUGUAUUAUUAGUAACAUAUGAAGUAGAUUUAACACUAAUUCAUACAUGGAUAUAAUAAAUCUUCUUGUGUCACAAUGCACGCACAUUCAUACUCUAACCAGGUAUCUAAACCUAUUCAUACAAUGCAACAAUUACCUGGGUGAAAAUAUUUCGCCCAUUGAUUUUAUUUCUCGAAUACGAGGACAGCCUGCACGCUAGUCACUAUGGGAAAUUCCAUUAAACACACGAUCAUUGCGGUGUCACCACAACAUCCAAGCACCUAAAAUGAGCGGCGCAUUCAGUCCUGGCUUGUUUCUAGGAUGAGCAUGGAUCUGCACCCACCAAUCACAGAAUACCUUGUCAGCAGGGUGUGGUGAGAGAUCAGGGAGUCCAUAUUGCCGGAACAGGAGAUAUCACACCUGCUUGGAAAAUAAACAACCGAGAUAGGAUGUGCUUGUAGUGUCAUUCUCUUAGUCAGGCAUCUAAAGCACAUAUGCAAAUUUAAAGAAAUGUUUUAGCAUCAAGAAAUGAGGAGGGUAAUUCAGAAUACAAGUGAAAUUAUAUAUUCUAAUGGUAAGUACAUAUUAUAAAUACAAAAAUCAUGCAUUGCAGUACUAGAUUGAGACUAGGAAUUAACUAUGUGUUGCUGGAUAGCAAUGGAUAAUUGACUGCCCUUUAACAUGUUGUGUUGCUUGCCUUGCCCAAUUGCUUAGGAAGUGAUGUUUUCAUACCUGUGUACUACAGAUAUCUGUGUCUAGAUCAAGAAAUUUAUUCAUGCCAAACCAAAAUUAAUUAUUUGGUAAAUAAUGAGUUUGUUGACCUAGCUAAACUGAACAAAAGGGGAAUUGGCCCUUUCAGUGGACAGUUAGGCCACUAUCGAGAAAACUGAGUACAAUCAAUCCAAAAUAAAAAUUACUAUCAUUAUACUAGAUAGAUGGCAGCACUACUGCAACCAUCUGAAGCAAGGUUAUACCUUCACAUUAGGCCACCAGCUGGCACUGGUCCGGUUACAAAAUGCAUACCAUCUUAUUAAACUACGAAAUCAUUUGCUUCCAUACUAUUCACUAUGUAAAGUAAGCCUGUACCGUAUAAGUCUACUUUAGGUGACAAAACUGUGAAUCGUUAGUUAGCAAGGAGCCAAAGAUAUACCUGUAGAUGCAGGUAAGAUGAUAUCUUUGAUUACAACAAAUGUCAAACCUUAUGGAGCUAAUCAUGCAUCUGUCAGUUGAACUUGUGGCCGCUGAUCCUUCACCCACUUGACAGACUGAGAAGGUAACCUUCCUCUAGUCUCCAUCUAAAAGGUUGCAACAUUAGCUGCUGAUCUAAGAAGCAUUCCAAAGAAGUAUUCAUCAAUCAAUCACAACAGUGCAUGCUGACAAUGUCAAAGCUAAUGAAAAAAAAUUGCAAGACAAAAGAGCACGGUGGACUUGGCCUCAAGGACCUGGCCGUUCAGAACAAAAGCCUUUUGCUCAAACUUCUUCACCAGCUGUACACCCCCGGGGACUCGUCCUGGGCGUGAUGGGCGCACGACCUUGUCAGCUUGAUAGAUCUUCAUGGCGAGAUCGAAGGAACGCACUGGGAGGACCUUAAGAGCCUGAUGCCAGUUUACCACACCCUCACCUGUUCAGCAGUCGCCAAUGGGUCCACGACCAAUUUCUGGCAUGACAGGUGGAUAUCAGAAGCCUAGGGACAUGGCUGAUGAUGUGCAAUAUACAGACAGAAAAUAACCUGAAGAAAAGGACAAUACAAAUACAAACGCUCAUUCUAUCUUAACAGGGACAUGAGCCAAAAUUGAAUGGAGCCAUGCAUUCAGAAAUAAAGUUCAAACAAUUACAUAUUACUACAACGGGCAGAAUGAAAAUGGAAUGUGUUUGAAUGACAUGUGCAGAGGAUAUGUACUCAAGAAUCCAUGACUCAUUUGUAUAGCUAGGAAGAAAUUGGGAGGACAGAGGGGUGAAAAGGAUGCAUACUCAUGUGCAGGCUCCUGGCUUCGGCCACGGCCACCGCCAGCGCUGCGGCACCUACCGUCGUAACCUCCCUGUCGUCACCACGUCGGGUCCCUUUGGCGGACGGAGCAGGAGGAAGUGGGUGCAGGAGGACGCGAGGCUCGCUAAGGCAGGCGUGGAGGUCCCAGAUCUGCUCGAGGACUACCUCCAUGGAGGCCACACCCGGCCCUUGAGCUCCUCGGCUCGGCACUAGGAAACCCUAUCCGCCAUGGCGUAGGGAGGAUUCCACAGUAGGAAGAGGAAGAGGGGGCAGCGAAGGAGGAGGGGGUCAUGGCGCGGGAGGCGGCAGCGCAGCGCUCGGGGACUCGGGGGCGGCGGCACAAGGGAGAGGAGUCGGGGGAGGCGAGUCGGGGGGAGGCCGUCGGGGGCAGGGAAAUCGUUUCCGGUUUUUUUUGGCCAGAACGUGCGAUAGGCCCCGUUUGUAUCCGCUUAUAAGCGGCUUAUCGGUGGAAAUAAGCGAGAAUCCCGCCAAACGCUUUGCUUAUUUCCACCGAUUCUCGCUUAUGUGGUAAGCCGCUUCAACGAUUUGAACUACGAGAAGCGAAAAGCGAGAAGCAAGAAAAUCUUUGCUUAAAUUAUAAUCCAAGCGUGGCUAAAAAAAGCGUAUACAAACAGGGCCAUAGGCUAAUCUGGAAUCAUGAGGAAUCACCAUUUCCAAUUCUGGGAAGCCAAACAUGUUGAUCUUGGAAACUAAUUCUAAUUCCACCUGAUUCCAACCAAAUAUACAGACCCUAACGGAAAUGCAUGGAAGGCCACACAAACGUAUUAGUCCACGACAUGCUACAAUGCUUGUAUGUACAUAUAACAAAUUGUUAUAUUAAAUGCAUUGAAUACAGUGAGUUUAGUGAGUUUACCAGAAUCGGUCGGAAUACAUGGGAAACAACAAGUGUUCUCGCAGACUGUGUCGGAGGCACCCGCAGCAAUACAAGCAAAACAACAUGCUUUUGCCCGGGCGGAUACGCAGCAGCCGCACUGUGCCGCGGUCGCCGAGUUAACAUUGAGGCUCAAGAUGACCAGGCACAUGAUCACCAUCAAAGCGGUAGUCCUCUUUCCCUCCAUUGCCUCCUCACAAUCUUAAAGCGGCAGUGAGUCACGUUGGUGUAACAAGCAGUACAUCUGCUGGAAGAUUGAUAUGUCUAUAGAUCUUAUUAUCUUUCCACAUACUGCACAAUGUCAAAGUAAAAUGAGAAAGGAUAACAAGCGGAUACAGAGUGAUUGGAUUUACUUGAGAAGCUUGAAGAAACAUCCAGCAACAACAGAAAAGUCAAAGUAUCAAGCGCAUGGAGCUAUAAAGCAGAUUGUAUCGGCUAGAAGAUUCAGGACGUUGAACUUACAAAAGUUCGAAGCAUGGCCAUUGCGAUAACUUUGCACGGGCAUCACGGAGAUGCCAACAUACAGGAAAGCAAAACAAUCAACAAGGGCCUCUGCUGAUCGGUCAGGUCUCAGAGUUUGAGAAACUGGAUCUGACGGAUGUGAAAUUAAUCCAUGUGGCUUCAUGCAAAUUUGUUCACAGGUUUGAACAGCAUGUAAUCUUUUUCAGGCAUAUAUAAUGGAGCGUGGGUGUGUUAUGUUAUCUUCUACUACAAAUAUAACAUCAAAUUCAUUCGAUCAGUUUGGCCGAGAGCCCAAAAUACAACGGAUAUGCCAUCCAACGGGGGAGAAAAAAAGAUGAGGAACAGUAUACUCUAUCUUCGAAAUGAGUUAUAAAGAUUCAGCUUAAAAAGAGAUAACGAGGCGUCCAAGACUCGAGGAGCCAGUCAAGAGCAGACAAGAGGCACAUGAGUGAAUGCAUCCACACCUUGGGAUGCUGCAAACUUUUAUGGGGCUAUAUAUAGCCAAGUAAACUAUUUUAUCCUGCUGCAAGCUGCAUACAUAAGUUUAUUUAACCUUUGUUCACAAUACUCUUCAUACACCAUUCACACACGUCUCAGGGAGCUGCAGCAAUGGCGGAGAUCUUAGCUGGAGUGCUCACUUCCGCUGUCGUCGCUAUUGCCAAAGACACAAGCUAGCUCACCUCUGCUAUUGCGGAGCAGGCCAAUUUGCUGUGGAACUUCGGCGACGACCUGAAGGACAUGAACUCGGUGCUGGAGUCCAUCUCAGCAGCGCUCCAGGACGCUGACACCGGUAGAAAAAUAACCUUCCAUCUUCAACAAAAAUCCCAGUAGCUUUUUUACCUGGAACUAAAGAGGUUUUAGUCCCGUACAUAUACCUUUAGUCCGGGUUGCUGUUACCAACCAGGAGUAAAGGGUCCGACGGCACCAACCGGGACUAAAGCGUCCCCCACGAGUUACUAUAUAAAAGGAUUGCAUCCUCUACUCAGUCAGAUGUACUGUGUAGGUGAGAUGGUAAGGAAGCUAUGCGCGAGGCUUGAGGUUGUGGGUUCGAAUCCCACACACCGCGCACGCACGCGCAUAUUUUGCGUGAAAAAUCGCGUGACUUGUGAUCGGCCAAGGAGAAGUGGGUGCUGUUGUGGCUUAAUCGCGUGACUUGUGAUUGGCCAAGGAGAAGUGGGUGCUGCUGUGGCUUAAGCGGCUGAGGCAUGCCACCAUAGACAUCUCGGAUUUGCUCGAAGACUACCAAGACACUAGCGAACCCUUAACGGCAAAGUUGAGUACUUAUGCAUGUCCGCAUCUAUGUUGUCCAUGCUUCUGAUGUAAUAACAAAAAGGACUACUCUUCCUAGCGGAUUCUUCAUAACCACUCGUAAAGCUAUGCGUUUCUCAAUGCAAUUUCGUAGAAGGCAAUCGAUCCAACCAAGCGACUAAAUUAUUCGUCCUUGCUAAUGAUGUGCAUCAGGUUUUCUAUAUGAAGGACAUGUCUAGCAAAUCCAAGAUUUUAGAAGAAAAAGAAAAAUCAUAAGAGUCAAAGCGCCACAUAGUUCUUUCAGGUAAAAAAACAAUCAUCCAUUGGGAUAACACACAGUAGCGAUCCAAAACGUCCAUAUUAAGACUUUUUGAUAGCAGAAAAAACAUAAAAUGUCUAAUAUUUGUAGUAUUAAAAGGAAAAAUAAUAUAUUCACUUGACCUUUUUUCCAUAGCAACGCACCGGUGCAUAGUCAGACUUAAUGCACGAUGCCUGUGCAUCCACUGAGCCUGCCCUCGUGGAUCACGCGCACCAGGACACAGCUCAUUAGCUAGUCGUGCUAAUCCUUACCACCAAAUAAAAAACUAGCAUGUGUUGUGUGUUUGUGACCCUAAACAAUCACAAAUGAAUAACGUUUGGGCUUUGCUAGCGCCUGGACGCCCGGUUCAGGAUGCUAGCAUCGGACGCACGAGCAGUCGUCCGAUCAGGUCCGACACCACUUCAGGAUCUGGCUUAAAAAGAAGUCCCACCGAAAUAUUGUUCCAUGUUGCAUGAAACAUCCCACUAUCCAUCGCUAGGUCUAGAGCAAGCACCACCUUCAAAUCUGCUGCUCACCCAAGCUAAAUAGGGGCAUUAAAAUUGCAGAAAUAUGUCGCAUAUCCUUCUCAAAUUAAACUAAAUGGCAACAUCCAAAAAUUUCUUGUACAAAACCAUGAAACAUAUCGAUUAGAUAGGUGUAACAAGAUGGAAUAUGGUAUGCAACAUAUAGAUUCCGAAAAACAGAUGAAACAUUAUGUAAUGAUUGUUGAAACAGUCGAGAAAAAUUAAGAAAAGAAGCUUUAUGCAAAUUGCAAAAAGCUGAAAUAAGUGGUUGAACAUUUCAAAUCACCAAAUGCCACAUUUGAAAUGACUAGAUGAAACAUCACGAAAUCAAUUGUAACAGUUGAAGAUGAAAACAUUCAAAUGCCUUGCCUUUCUCCAGAUUUGACCCUCCAAGCAUGAGUCCGGCCAUUUGCACAUUAGACCCUUGGGAGGAGCUCACCGGAGAAUAACAAGACCGUGUUCUCCAACAAUUUUCCAAUCAAAUUGCAACAUAAAAAACAAAGCAUUGCAACAUCUGGCGAGCUACAACAUCAACCAGUUAGUAUCAGGAGAAUGAGGGCAAACACAAGGUUAAUAAUGAGUUAUAUCCUGUUUAAACGAGGAUAAAAAUGAGUGUAUUUUCCACUCAUCAUGUUGUCUUUUCGCAGCUGUACUGCUUUUAGUGUGUUGUAUUGUUCCCCUAACACCAAGUCUCCAAGGCCCGAGAAAAUAAGGAAGGUGAUAGCAUCCCAGAAAUCGACCAAGUUUCUUUCGCCCUUUGGCUUUCCUACUAGGAUUCGGAAUCCUCUUUCGCAUGACAAUUUUAAUUAUCUCCCAUAGUCCAAAACUCACAAAAAUAUCAAAAAUCCGCCGAGAAUAAAUUAAGUAAAAAACAUGCACACACAGAUAAUAAUAAUAAUAAUCAUGUUUCAAUAAAAUUGCUAAGGCUAGAGACAAUACAUAAACAUAUUAGACUGUUCAUGACACAUAUCACGAUGGACUGUCUGUGUCCUUAUUACAAGCAGCGAGAGGAAUUAACUAUGCUUGUCACCACACACACGUGUGCACAGAUGCACGACAUACAUAUAGUUGAGACCAACGAUGGAUCAACUAGAGGUCGCCCCAUAUGGCGAACAAUUUAUUGGAGAUAAACAUUAAUAUAACUUGGCCAUAGCUUGAAGCAUAGCAACAUAUGCCUAUGAAUGGCAUUCAUGCUAUCGUUUUAGUGUUGUCCUCCUUCCGUCGUAGCAGCAACUGUCAAAUUGAGAUAUGGAAAUCCCAUUAGCGCAUGAGUUAAUUUUGCAGUGGAAAUAGAGUACAAGAUGUCUUCAUGAUGUAAGUAAUAUGCCUGAAGUUGUGAGAUGGGAAGUGAGGUCAACAAAUUACUUUAACAGAAAUGCAUGGAAGGCCACACAUACGUAUUGGUCCACGAUAUGCUACAAAGCUUGUAUGUACAUAUAACAAAUUAAAUGCAUUGAAUAGAGUGAGUUUAGUGAAUUUACCAGGAUCGGACGGAAGACAAUCCGGGAGACAGGCGCUCUCGCAGAAUAUGUCGGGGGCACCCGUAGAAGUACAAGUAGAACAAAGUUGUUUUGCCUGAUCGGAUUUGCAGCAGUCGCACUGUGCCGCGGUGGCCGGGUUAAC